GUAGGUGGCAAGCGUUGUCCGGAAUUAUUGGGCGUAAAGCGCGCGCAGGCGGUUCUUUAAGUCUGAUGUGAAAGCCCACGGCUCAACCGUGGAGGAUCAUUGGAAACUGGAGGACUUGAGUACAGAAGAGGAAAGCGGAAUUCCACGUGUAGCGGUGAAAUGCGUAGAGAUGUGGAGGAACACCAGUGGCGAAGGCGGCUUUCUGGUCUGUAACUGACGCUGAGGCGCGAAAGCGUGGGGAGCAAACAGGAUUAGAUACCCUGGUAGUCCACGCCGUAAACGAUGAGUGCUAAGUGUUAGGGGGGUUUUCCGCCCCCCUUAGUGCUGCAGCUAACGCAUUAAGCACUCCGCCUGGGAGUACGGCCGCAAGGCUG
RNAcentral lists this ribosomal RNA (374 nucleotides) under uncultured organism. RNAcentral describes it as "partial 16S ribosomal RNA". It matches the Rfam family "Bacterial small subunit ribosomal RNA", at positions 527 to 896 of the family's 1533-position model. The record is from RNAcentral.